GGUUGUGAACUGUGGGGACAUCUCCCCCUGCAGAUCCGACCGCGGCAUAAGCCGAAACAACAUUAUUUGAGAAGGAG
Molecule: non-coding RNA, 77 nt
Organism: Pelobacter seleniigenes DSM 18267
Lineage: Bacteria; Pseudomonadati; Thermodesulfobacteriota; Desulfuromonadia; Desulfuromonadales; Desulfuromonadaceae
Source: Rfam